Molecule: non-coding RNA, 1140 nt
Organism: Biomphalaria pfeifferi
Lineage: Eukaryota; Metazoa; Mollusca; Gastropoda; Planorbidae
Source: the annotation of a GenBank genome assembly
CUGGAACCCCGUCGGCUGUAUAUGGGAAAAAUCCCCUGUUUGUGUUCAAAUAAGUCCUGCGGGACCUGUUGGGCGAUUCAUUGCCGGUGUUGUGGUACGACUGUUUACAGAUGCUAUUGGGCUAUUAGCUGACCACUGUCCCUGGGUCUUAACUUGCGUAUUGCUAAUGUAGUCACUGAUAUAGUGCAUUAGAAACAAUUAAAGAAAAUAAUAAUGUUAUAAGUAAAGCGAAUGCAUGAAUUCAUGAAUAAAAAAAAUAUUAUGAAUGAAGCUAAAAAUAGCUAAUUGACCUGAAUUUAAUUUUUUUAUGAAAACAUUGGCGAACGAAUAUUGAUCUAUGUAAAAAAUGCUUUAGAAAAACAAAUUUGAAUGUUAUUUUAUUCUUACUCUGGAACAAAUAUAACCUAACACAACUCCGAUUCAUUUCUUAAUGUGAUACUUAUGUUUACAUACUAAAACAAUCUGCACCCCUAAGCUGUCAGAAGAUAUUAUUGCCUUAAUAAUUAAAAUUUUGUUCAAAUUAUUAAUGCAUUUAUUAUAAAUAUAUUUAGAUCUAGGCUUUAUUUAGUCUUAUUUAGACUGUCAAGUGUAGGGCCCUAUAAUGAGGAUAUGUCAAAACUGCGUGCUAUAAAAGUAGUUCGUCAUUUUUGAAACUUAUAACAAAAAAUAAGUUAGUAUCAAAAUUCUUUUUUAAAACAGCAUUUGAAUCAGUAUUCUAUUCAAUGGAAAAUAUAUUUUGUAAUGAACCAUUGACACUUUUACCAUUGCGACCUUAGAUGCUAAUUUUUUGUAACAAUGCGCGAAUCUAUGAAUGAAGCUUGAGUUAUUAAUGAACAAGUCCAUGACCUUUUUUUUUAAAAAAAAAAUUACCUCUUCAGAAGUUUUUCAUUGAAAAGUGGUGUAAUUUUUUGAAAAAUCUGCUUGCAUAUAUAAUUGUAAAAAUUACAUGGUUCACUUUCAGAAAAGAAAAAAGUUGCCGUAGCAUCAGAACCUGGAAUGAUCUAAAAUAUUAUGAUAUCCGAUUUUCAUUCUCUUUUAGUUUCUGAGAUAUAAACGAAUCGGACAGAUAGACGGACAGACAGGCCACACUAAACUAAUAGCGUCUUUUCCCCUUUUGGGGGCGCUAAAAAUGCACAGUUG